RNAcentral lists this ribosomal RNA (451 nucleotides) under uncultured Allobrachymonas sp. Its description in RNAcentral is "bacterial SSU rRNA". It matches the Rfam family "Bacterial small subunit ribosomal RNA", at positions 924 to 1382 of the family's 1533-position model. Lineage: Bacteria; Pseudomonadati; Pseudomonadota; Betaproteobacteria; Burkholderiales; Comamonadaceae. The record is from RNAcentral.
CACAAGCGGUGGAUGAUGUGGUUUAAUUCGAUGCAACGCGAAAACCUUACCACCUUUGACAUGGCAGGAAUCCCGAAGAGAUUUGGAGUGCUCGAAAGAGAACCUGCACACAGGUGCUGCAUGGCUGUCGUCAGCUCGUGUCGUGAGAUGUUGGGUUAAGUCCCGCAACGAGCGCAACCCUUGCCAUUAGUUGCUACGAAAGGGCACUCUAAUGGGACUGCCGGUGACAAACCGGAGGAAGGUGGGGAUGACGUCAAGUCCUCAUGGCCCUUAUAGGUGGGGCUACACACGUCAUACAAUGGCCGGUACAGAGGGUAGCCAACCCGCGAGGGGGAGCCAAUCCCACAAAGCCGGUCGUAGUCCGGAUCGCAGUCUGCAACUCGACUGCGUGAAGUCGGAAUCGCUAGUAAUCGCGGAUCAGCAUGUCGCGGUGAAUACGUUCCCGGGUCUU